Molecule: long non-coding RNA, 326 nt
Organism: Mauremys reevesii (Reeves's turtle)
Lineage: Eukaryota; Metazoa; Chordata; Testudines; Geoemydidae
Exons: 3
Source: RefSeq, a predicted model, not a curated record
CAACUGAGAAGCACAGGCAGUACAAGACACCUGGCAAUCACUAAAGUAAAAUGAAAGGUAUUGUUUUGAAAAAUCUCAGAAAAGGUCCCUCCAACAAAGAGAAGAAGAGGUAGCUUCAGUUCCUAGCUGUGCAACACACCUCCUGUGUCACCUUGGGCAAGUCAGUUUAUCUCUGCAUCUCAGUUCCCCACCUGAAAGCUUCCUUAAAGCAAACUGAUCAAGGAACUCCAAUGACACCUAAAGCCUGGAAACAAGAGAGACUGAGAGACCUAACUUGCACUUGUCAAUUUACUAUAACUAGUUUGAUAUUAAGGAUUAUGGUCCAG